CUGCAGGAACUGUUGUUGACAACAUCAUUUGCCAUCAUUAAAACAAUGAUUUCUACAUGUGUUCCCAUGCUGGAAUGAUAGGAACAACUAGGCCAACACAUUAUCAUGUUCUGCUUGAUGAGAUUGGUUUCUCAGCUCACGAUUUGCAAGAUCUGGUGCAUUCGUUAUCCUACGUCUAUCAAAGAAGCUCAACAGCCAUUUCUUUUCUCCUAUAUGCUAUGCUCAUCUAGCAGCGAAUCAGAUCGGUCAGUUCAUGAAUUUUGAUGACUUCUCUAAUACUUCUUCGAGCCAAGGUGGUGUCACUUCAUCGAGCCAACUUGAACAAAGUAGGUAUUCACUAAUCCGAGGGAGCGACCUUUCACCUUUGAGGAGAUAGAUGAAGUUCGAGAAAUAUUGGAAACUUCAUUAUCAGUGAUUGUCUUUGAUAUUUUCUUGUACUGAAUCAUAAAUUAUAGAUGCUAGUUUUUUCAUAUGAUUGUAAUGUAAUCGACUUUUAUAUUUACAAUUAUAUACUAUUUGAUUUAAUUAUCUAUAUAAUUGGAUACUUUUUCUGUGA
Molecule: long non-coding RNA, 556 nt
Organism: Spinacia oleracea (spinach)
Lineage: Eukaryota; Viridiplantae; Streptophyta; Magnoliopsida; Caryophyllales; Amaranthaceae
Exons: 5
Source: RefSeq, a predicted model, not a curated record